ACUAACUGCCCACCUGGGCUGUCCUAAGCCAAGCUAGAGCCAACCAUUGAUUUUGUGAGACACAGGAAGUGAGGUAGGGAACAGCCUCUGGAAUUCGCUCACUUCCUGUGGAGAGAGCGAGAGGGAGUUGGUGUUAGGAGCUUGGACAGAGAGGACGCCCGCAGACAGCUUUCCUUCAGAUCGGUCACGCUACUAUAAGUCAAGAAUACCUGACUGGGAUAAAGUUCUGACUCUGGCAAAUACUAUGUGA
RNAcentral lists this long non-coding RNA (250 nucleotides) under Monodelphis domestica (gray short-tailed opossum). RNAcentral describes it as "lncRNA (ENSMODG00000031383.2)". Lineage: Eukaryota; Metazoa; Chordata; Mammalia; Didelphimorphia; Didelphidae. The record is from RNAcentral.